UAUCUCUGUAGAGUCUGCAUAUCAAUAAGCGGAGGAAAAGAAACUAACAAGGAUUCCCUUAGUAACGGCGAGUGAAGCGGGAAGAGCUCAGAUUUGAAAUCUUCAAGGUUCUACCUUGACGAAUUGUAGUUUAAAGAAGUGUUUUCUGUUAGAUGAGUAGCAAAAGUUCCUUGGAAUGGGACAUCAUAGAGGGUGAGAAUCCCGUAUUUGGUUAUUCAUUCUAGCUUUGUGAUACACUUUCAAAGAGUCGGAUUGUUUGGGAAUGCAGUCCAAAAUGGGUGGUAAAUUUCAUCUAAAGCUAAAUAUUGGCGAGAGACCGAUAGCGAACAAGUACCGUGAGGGAAAGAUGAAAAGAACUUUGAAAAGAGAGUUAAACAGUACGUGAAAUUGUCAAAAGGGAAGCGUUUGACACCAGUGUUGUUUUUCCGAAAAUCAAUUAAAAUUGAUUCAUGCCAGGUUGUAUUGACCUUAUCAGCUUGCAAUUUGGUUUUGGGUCUCUUUUUGAUGCACUUUUCGGUUAACAAGUCAACAUCAAUUUCCUUUGCUGUAAAAAGGUAAGAGGAAGGUGGCUUCAAUUUCGGUUGAAGUGUUUAUAGCCUUUUAUCUCCGCAGUCGGGGAGAUUGAGGUCUGCAGCGUAGAUCCUUCGGAGCUAGAUACGUUUAUGCUAAGUUAUAGCUUUUCAUAGACAACUUGUUGACUAUGUUUAGUCAUGUAGCUUACUCGUAAGUGCUAUUUUACCUACGCUUAGGAUGUUGAAGACUCUACAGAGAU
RNAcentral lists this ribosomal RNA (772 nucleotides) under uncultured Neocallimastigales. RNAcentral's name for it is "partial large subunit ribosomal RNA". It matches the Rfam family "Eukaryotic large subunit ribosomal RNA", at positions 24 to 624 of the family's 3401-position model. Lineage: Eukaryota; Fungi; Neocallimastigomycota; Neocallimastigomycetes; Neocallimastigales. The record is from RNAcentral.